GUUUUCAUACUAUAGGCAAUUUGGAAAUGUAGAAAUGCAUCCAUCUUCAAGAAACGGAACCAGACAUGGCAGGAGGUAGUUUCAUAUGCUUUAAAAUAUCAAGAAGAAUUUCUAACAGCUUCUUCAAAUGAAACAACGCAAACCUUCCCUCGGGGUCAGCCGACCCUUAUUUGGUCCCCUCCGCCUUUGAAUGCAAUUAAGAUUAACUUUGAUGCAACUGUUGAUCAAAGGAAUGGAAAGGGUGCUUCUGCUGUUAUCAUGCGAGACCACCUAGGAAGAGUUGUAGAUUGGAGAUGCAAGCUGUGGGAUGCGAUUCAAAGACCCCUUUGUUACUAGAAAGCUUAGCAUGUAGGGAGGCUGCUCUUUUGGGUGUUUCAUCAGGUUUUACCACAAUAGUUUUGGAGGGAGAUUCCUCAAUGGUGAUUGAUGGUUCGCGUAGCAGAGAGUCACCAAUUGCUAUACAAGGAGUCCUUCGUAAUGUUUUAGAGUUAACAGCCAACUGUGAACAUAUUAUUUUUUUCAACAGUUAGAAGGACUGCAACCCAGGCUGCACAUGUUAUUGCUCAAAAAUGUCUUCAUGAUCUGUCUUUUAGUUGUAACAGAUUAGCCCAAUUGAACAUUGUAUUCAGUUUGUCGCCUAUUUAAUGCUUCUAUGAAAA
This 659-nucleotide unclassified non-coding RNA is filed under the name Hevea brasiliensis (rubber tree). The record is from RNAcentral. Lineage: Eukaryota; Viridiplantae; Streptophyta; Magnoliopsida; Malpighiales; Euphorbiaceae.